Long non-coding RNA from Vespula pensylvanica (western yellowjacket), 398 nucleotides. RefSeq lists it as uncharacterized. The transcript is spliced from 2 exons. Lineage: Eukaryota; Metazoa; Arthropoda; Insecta; Hymenoptera; Vespidae. The record is from RefSeq and is a predicted model, not a curated record.
AUGAGAUGUUCACAGAGUAUCAUGGUAUAUCCUGAGAUUACCAGAUAUAUAUAUGUGCGACAGUAGCGCCAUCUGGAGUUGCUUGUACGCAACUACAAUAAAUAUUGCUGUAGAACGUUUGUAUCAUAAUACGUAAUACGACUCUUACCGAAAAUACAAAUAUUAUCGACGGAUCAAAGAUAGAAGUUCGUAGAAGUAUAUACAGGAAUUCUCAACACGAAUCAUGUUGCUCUGUGUGUUAAGCAAUUUGGCAACGUCGCUAAGGCUUAAUCCGGCCAGAAGGAAUGGAGCCUAGCAACCAGUGAGGUCAACAAACGAGGUCAAAUCACAGAUUACCUGCGCAGUACGACGGAAAUAAUGAUGAUGCAGAUGUAAAUACAUAUGUAUGUUGAAAUACA